CCUACGGGAGGCAGCAGUGGGGAAUAUUGCGCAAUGGGCGAAAGCCUGACGCAGCGACGCCGCGUGCGGGAUGAAGGUCUUCGGAUCGUAAACCUCUGUCAGCAGGGAAGAACGGUCACUGUGCUAAUCAGCAGUGCAUUGACGGUACCUGCAAAGGAAGCACCGGCUAACUCCGUGCCAGCAGCCGCGGUAAUACGGAGGGUGCGCGCGUUAAUCGGAGUUACUGGGCGUCAAGCGAUCGUAGGCGGUAUGUCAAGUCAAGGGUGAAAUCCCCGCGCUCAACGUGGGAACUGCCUUUGAAACUGGCAAACUGGAGUGUGUGAGAGGAUAGUGGAAUUCCUGGUGUAGGAGUGAAAUCCGUAGAUAUCUGGAGGAACACCAGUGGCGAAGGCGACUAUCUGGCACAUAACUGACGCUGAGGAGCGAAAGCGUGGGUAGCAAACAGGAUUAGAUACCCGGGUAGUC
This 465-nucleotide ribosomal RNA is filed under the name uncultured bacterium. RNAcentral describes it as "partial 16S ribosomal RNA". It matches the Rfam family "Bacterial small subunit ribosomal RNA", at positions 338 to 795 of the family's 1533-position model. The record is from RNAcentral.